CGGGGGUGGGGGGGGAUGUGUGGGAUUAGUAUGUCUUCCUCUGAAAAAAUGCUUGCAUAAUGACUACAGAAAACUUUAAUUUCAUUAACAAAUUAGAGCUAAAUCUUAUUCUGACAAAUGUUGCAGAAAAUAGUUUCUCAUUUUCCCCCAGUAUCUUAAAAUAUUAAUCUUUAAUAAACAUUUUCAGGUAAGUUUUUUUUUUCUUUCUGAAUACCACUUGGAGAUUUUCCAAGAAAAAAAAUUAAGGUCCUCUGGUUAGUUUGAUUUUAAAUGGGCAGUGGAAAAUAGAACCAACUUAAGUCGACUGUCUUAGAUAGAGGAGAAAUUUUAUGAAAGUUUUAUAUCAUUUGUACAAGGUUUUAAAAUAUGACAGACUUUUAAGAAUACAGAUAAUACAGGCCAUGGCCUGUCUUUAUUCCCACCCCCCAGGUUCAUUAAGGCAU
This 443-nucleotide long non-coding RNA is filed under the name Marmota monax (woodchuck). The record is from RNAcentral. Lineage: Eukaryota; Metazoa; Chordata; Mammalia; Rodentia; Sciuridae.